CCUACGGGAGGCAGCAGUGGGGAAUAUUGGACAAUGGGCGAAAGCCUGAUCCAGCAAUGCCGCGUGAGUGAUGAAGGCCUUAGGGUCGUAAAGCUCUUUUACCAGGGAUGAUAAUGACAGUACCUGGAGAAUAAGCUCCGGCUAACUCCGUGCCAGCAGCCGCGGUAAUACGGAGGGAGCUAGCGUUGUUCGGAAUUACUGGGCGUAAAGCGUGCGUAGGCGGUUAUUCAAGUCAGAGGUGAAAGCCCGGGGCUCAACCCCGGAACGGCCUUUGAAACUAGAUAACUAGAAUCUUGGAGAGGUCAGUGGAAUUCCGAGUGUAGAGGUGAAAUUCGUAGAUAUUCGGAAGAACACCAGUGGCGAAGGCGACUGACUGGACAAGUAUUGACGCUGAGGUACGAAAGCGUGGGGAGCAAACAGGAUUAGAUACCCUGGUAGUCCACGCCGUAAACGAUGAUAACUAGCUGUCCGGACACUUGGUGUUUGGGUGGCGCAGCUAACGCAUUAAGUUAUCCGCCUGGGGAUACGGUCGCAAGNUUAAAACCGUUAAUGAAUUGACGG
RNAcentral lists this ribosomal RNA (561 nucleotides) under uncultured bacterium. RNAcentral's name for it is "bacterial SSU rRNA". It matches the Rfam family "Bacterial small subunit ribosomal RNA", at positions 338 to 916 of the family's 1533-position model. The record is from RNAcentral.